GUGCUGGCUUGGACAGCACAUACACUAAAACUGGAACGAUACAGAGAUUAGAAUGGCCCCUGUACAAGGAUGACUUGCAAAUUUGUGAAGCGUUCCAUAUUUAA
This is a small nuclear RNA of Callorhinus ursinus (northern fur seal), 104 nucleotides long. The record is from RefSeq and is a predicted model, not a curated record. Lineage: Eukaryota; Metazoa; Chordata; Mammalia; Carnivora; Otariidae.